UGCUGGGGGAUUAGUGGCGAACGGGUGAGUAACACGUGAGUAACCUGCCCUUGACUCUGGGAUAAGCCUGGGAAACUGGGUCUAAUACCGGAUACGACCAUCUGGCGCAUGUCAUGGUGGUGGAAAGCUUUUGUGGUUUUGGAUGGACUCGCGGCCUAUCAGCUUGUUGGUGGGGUAAUGGCCUACCAAGGCGACGACGGGUAGCCGGCCUGAGAGGGUGACCGGCCACACUGGGACUGAGACACGGCCCAGACUCCUACGGGAGGCAGCAGUGGGGAAUAUUGCACAAUGGGCGAAAGCCUGAUGCAGCGACGCCGCGUGAGGGAUGACGGCCUUCGGGUUGUAAACCUCUUUCAGUAGGGAAGAAGCGAAAGUGACGGUACCUGCAGAAGAAGCGCCGGCUAACUACGUGCCAGCAGCCGCGGUAAUACGUAGGGCGCAAGCGUUAUCCGGAAUUAUUGGGCGUAAAGAGCUCGUAGGCGGUUUGUCGCGUCUGCUGUGAAAGACCGGGGCUCAACUCCGGUUCUGCAGUGGGUACGGGCAGACUAGAGUGCAGUAGGGGAGACUGGAAUUCCUGGUGUAGCGGUGAAAUGCGCAGAUAUCAGGAGGAACACCGAUGGCGAAGGCAGGUCUCUGGGCUGUAACUGACGCUGAGGAGCGAAAGCAUGGGGAGCGAACAGGAUUAGAUACCCUGGUAGUCCAUGCCGUAAACGUUGGGCACUAGGUGUGGGGGACAUUCCACGUUUUCCGCGCCGUAGCUAACGCAUUAAGUGCCCCGCCUGGGGAGUACGGCCGCAAGG
Molecule: ribosomal RNA, 800 nt
Filed under: Paenarthrobacter nitroguajacolicus
Lineage: Bacteria; Bacillati; Actinomycetota; Actinomycetes; Micrococcales; Micrococcaceae
Description: bacterial SSU rRNA
Rfam family: Bacterial small subunit ribosomal RNA
Source: RNAcentral